UCGAAUAGUUAAAUAAUUUUCAAUACGAAGAUUUUAUCGACAAUACAUCACGUAGCUAGGUAAGUCGUAAGUUCGUAACACUAAACGAAUGUAAAAUUAUUCGAACUCUGAAGAAAUCGUCGUCGCCGGUUUACCGUCGUCAUAAGACGUAAGACCACUGUCGUUCAAAAAGAAAAAAAAAAUGACAUGAUUUAUAUGUAACAUACUAACAUAUAAUAAUAAUACGUGCGUGUGUACAGCGACUGUGUGUAUAAUUUUUGAAUUACACUAAUAUAAUAUCUGUUGCCUGUUAUUAUGAACAAUAAAACCAUCAAGAUUUCAGUAAUAGCAGAGGUUGAAAAUCACUACUUUCAUGUGCGCUAUCACUAGAGUUACAUUUAUAUCCCUGCAAUCAUUGCUACUAU
Molecule: non-coding RNA, 404 nt
Organism: Cinara cedri
Lineage: Eukaryota; Metazoa; Arthropoda; Insecta; Hemiptera; Aphididae
Source: the annotation of a GenBank genome assembly